Molecule: ribosomal RNA, 237 nt
Filed under: uncultured Staphylococcus sp.
Lineage: Bacteria; Bacillati; Bacillota; Bacilli; Caryophanales; Staphylococcaceae
Description: partial 16S ribosomal RNA
Rfam family: Bacterial small subunit ribosomal RNA
Source: RNAcentral
CGGGUGAGUAACACGUGGAUAACCUACAUAUAAGACUGGGAUAACUUCGGGAAACCGGAGCUAAUACCGGAUAAUAUUUUGAACCGCAUGGUUCAAAAGUGAAAGACGGUCUUGCUGUCACUUAUAGAUGGAUCCGCGCUGCGUUAGCUAGUUGGUAAGGUAACGGCUUACCAAGGCAACGAUGCAUAGCCGACCUGAGAGGGUGAUCGGCCACACUGGAACUGAGACACGGUCCAG